GACGAACGCUGGCGGCGUGCUUAACACAUGCAAGUCGUACGGUAAGGCCCUUUCGGGGGUACACGAGUGGCGAACGGGUGAGUAACACGUGAGUAACCUGCCCACAACUUUGGGAUAACGCUAGGAAACUGGUGCUAAUACUGGAUAUGUUCUCCUGCUGCAUGGUGGGGGUUGGAAAGCUCCGGCGGUUGUGGAUGGACUCGCGGCCUAUCAGCUUGUUGGUGGGGUAGUGGCCUACCAAGGCGGCGACGGGUAGCCGGCCGGAGAGGGUGACCGGCCACAGUGGGACUGAGAUACGGCCCAGACUCCUACGGGAGGCAGCAGUGGGGAAUAUUGCACAAUGGGCGCAAGCCUGAUGCAGCAACGCCGCGUGCGGGAGGACGGCCUUCGGGUUGUAAACCGCUUUCAGCAGGGACGAAGCUUUUUGUGACGGUACCUGCAGAAGAAGCACCGGCUAACUACGUG
This 465-nucleotide ribosomal RNA is filed under the name uncultured bacterium. RNAcentral's name for it is "partial 16S ribosomal RNA". It matches the Rfam family "Bacterial small subunit ribosomal RNA", at positions 28 to 507 of the family's 1533-position model. The record is from RNAcentral.